UAUCCGUAUGAUAUUUUCUCGUUGUAUUUUGAUAAAUUAAUAAUUGCAGAGAUAACGCAUUUCACAAACGAAUAUGUGAAUCAACACAAUGCUGCCAUUAACGUCACGCCAGUGGAAAUACGGAUGGUUCCGUUACAUGCUUCUUGCAGCUUCCGAUAGUGGCUGACGGCUACAAAACGCAAAUACACACGCGAAUAUAUACAAAGCCCAUAUUAAAAAAUGAGCAGCACUUAAUAUAACACAUACAUACAUGCACAUAUUCUGCAAUGAAAACGAGAUAGAAGUAAACACAUUUUAACAUCCGUGUCACAUUUGACAAUCCAGAUUUGGUGGCGAGAGAUUACAGUGAACGGGGCCUGAAGGGGGUUGAACAUUUGACUUGUAGCUUUUCCACUAAAUACAAAGCUCCGACAAUACACCUAUUUCAUGCCGCACGUGCCAACCUCUAGCAACGUCCUGACACUUCAAACGAGCUUUUAUACAGGCAAAUGUUGGAUUGUAUACUUGCGCUACCUAUUUGGGUUAAUAAAUGAUUUUUGUUUUAUUUCAGUGAUUUUCCGUAAUUUCCUCAGUGAUUUUAAGUGAUACUGAAAGCUGUAAAUUCAGGAGAGUAAUCAUUAAUACAUACCAAUAAAUAUAUGUAUAUAUAUAUGUUAUUGUAAAUAUAUAUUUAUAGAAGUGUGUUUGUUUGCUGAAAAUUGGUGUAUCGUUGCUGCCACUAUUUAAUCGUACAUCGUUACCGAUAAGAUUUCAUCAAUAAUUCCGACAAACUGUCGAAGGCGUGCUGAGGGGGUGCUAGCAUAGGGAUUUGUACUUUGUCAGGAUGACUGACGUGCGGAUGUCAAUUGGGGCGAACAUAAUAUUGCCGAUUAUAUAUCAUUUCUAUUUCACGCGCUUCACCCGUAAUCAUAAUCGGCCUCCUGAGCGUGCUAUUCGCAACAUGAUCUUGAGAUCCAGCAUUCAUUAUUGGAUAAUAUUCGACAGCAUAGACAUCAUAGACAUCAUCAAAAAUGAUGCGGGUGAGAACGUAACUUCCAAUGGCGAACGUUAUCGCGCCACGAUAACCGAAUAUUUGAUGCCUGAAACUGAAGUUCGUGAUCCCGGCGACAUUUGGCUUUAACAAGACGGAACCACUUCCCGCAUGCUGUUGAGAGAACACUUCGAUGAGCAGAUAAUUUAACGUUUAAGACUUUUUCCUGUAGAGAUGUGCAAAGUCUCAAGUUUCAAAACAUCACGCAUGUCAAUCGCCAGUUACCAGUCGAAAUGCUCGAACAAGUCAAUGAAAAACGGAUUCAACGAAUUUUAAGACGGAGCCAUAUCCAUCAUUUAAAAAGAGAUACUAUUAAAAAAAUAAAUGCCAAAGAAUGUUCUUUCGAAUGAAAAUAAAGAUUCUCAAUUAAAUUUGAA
Bactrocera neohumeralis is the source of this 1407-nucleotide long non-coding RNA. RefSeq lists it as uncharacterized. The record is from RefSeq and is a predicted model, not a curated record. Lineage: Eukaryota; Metazoa; Arthropoda; Insecta; Diptera; Tephritidae. The transcript is spliced from 3 exons.